This 253-nucleotide ribosomal RNA is filed under the name uncultured bacterium. Its description in RNAcentral is "partial 16S ribosomal RNA". It matches the Rfam family "Bacterial small subunit ribosomal RNA", at positions 524 to 776 of the family's 1533-position model. The record is from RNAcentral.
UACGUAGGUGGCAAGCGUUGUCCGGAAUUAUUGGGCGUAAAGCGCGCGCAGGUGGUUUCUUAAGUCUGAUGUGAAAGCCCACGGCUCAACCGUGGAGGGUCAUUGGAAACUGGGGAACUUGAGUGCAGGAGAGAAGAGUGGAAUUCCACGUGUAGCGGUGAAAUGCGUAGAGAUGUGGAGGAACACCAGUGGCGAAGGCGACUCUUUGGCCUGUAACUGACACUGAGGCGCGAAGGCCAGGGGAGCAAACGGG